RNAcentral lists this long non-coding RNA (1198 nucleotides) under Capsicum annuum. RNAcentral describes it as "long non-coding RNA (CANN_LNC004994)". Lineage: Eukaryota; Viridiplantae; Streptophyta; Magnoliopsida; Solanales; Solanaceae. The record is from RNAcentral.
GCUUUUCAAUAAUGAUGACACCAUCUUGAACGCCUUGGCUGGAACUGGCAUUGAAGUCAUGAUUGGCAUAUCCAAUCAGCUACUCAAGGAUUUGGUUAAUCCUGAUGUAGCCAUGAAAUGGGUAAAAGAAAAUGUCACUCGUUAUGAGCCAAAGUCUCCUAAAGGUGUUAAUAUCACGUAAGUGUGUGCUAUUUUACCUUGAUUCAUUUGUCAUCUUUAUAUAUUCAAUUAAUCUUAUGAUCCAUAAAUAAUGUACAAGUUAUAUAUUUGUUUUAUUAAUUAACUGGUGCAGACUAAUAGGUGUUGGAAAUGAGCCAUUCUUGAGGGAUUACAAGGACACACUAACAAAUGUGACAGGGCCAGCAUUAGAGAACAUGCAAAAUGCACUGAAUGACGCUGGACUUGGUGACACCACCAAGGCAACUGUACCUCUAAAUGCAGAUGUUUACUUAUCACCAAGCUGGAAUCCUGUCCCUUCUGCUGGGUUUUUUCGCUCUGACAUCGUCGAUCCACUCAACUAUAUUCUUAAGGUCUUGAACAAGAACAAGGCUCCUUUUAUGGUUAAUAUUUAUCCUUUUCUCAGUCUUUUUUAUGGAAAUGGUGCAUUCCCGUUUGACUAUGCCUUCUUUGAUGGUGUGAGCAAUCCUCUUAAGGACAAAGAUGGUGUUGAAUACAGCAAUUGCUUUGAUGCCAAUCUUGACACUUGUGCAGCUGCUCUAGCAGGAGCAGGGUAUGGCAACAUGACCAUUAUGGUAGGAGAAAUGGGAUGGCCUACGGAUGGAAAUCCUUAUGCCAAUGUGACAUUGGCUGAAAAGUUUUACAAAGGAUUUGUAUCAUAUCUUGCAAAAGGAAAAGGAAGCCCACGUCGCCCUGGAUACAUUGAUGCUUACCUAUUUGCCUUAUUUGAUGAGGAUAGGAAGAGCACACUCCCAGGAAACUUUGAGACACAUUGGGGAAUCUACUACGAUGAUGGCACACCAAAGUUUCCUCUUGAUCUACGUGGAAAUAAAAAGAAUCUUGUCUCUGUCCCAAAUGUGGAGAGACUCUCCAAAAAAUGGUGUGUGAUAAAGCCAGAUGUUAAAAAUUUUACAGGCCUUAUGUCAUAUGCUUGUGACCGUGCAGAUUGUACACCUCUUACUAAUGGAUCAUCUUGCCAAAAUCUUAGCGAUGCUGACAAGGCUUCAUAUGCCGUGAAUAC